Molecule: long non-coding RNA, 356 nt
Organism: Zea mays
Lineage: Eukaryota; Viridiplantae; Streptophyta; Magnoliopsida; Poales; Poaceae
Exons: 3
Source: RefSeq, a predicted model, not a curated record
GGUGCCUCCUCCUAAAGUUCCUGCUCGUGAGGAGGAUAAGAUUUUGAUCGUACCGUGUGGCGACGAGUCUUGGAUUGAUGCAUCUUUUCAAGGUCAAGGACGUCGCACACAGGUGAAUAAAGUUUUGGGAAGUAUAUGCAAAUAUCUCUGGCCUGGUGUAGUGAUGGAGAAAGGCGUUGAGGUGCCUUGUAUGUCUUGGGAUCAGUACGGGCUCGCGUUCAAUGCGGAACAUAGGAAUGCCCAAGGUGCUGUGUGGCAUGAGUUCUGGAAACGUUACAAGUUGCCUGAAGAUGGAAGUAUGAACGAUCGUGCACGUAUCGUUUUUAACAAGAGCGCGACUACCUUGGUUAGGGAUC